RNAcentral lists this ribosomal RNA (301 nucleotides) under uncultured bacterium. RNAcentral describes it as "partial 16S ribosomal RNA". It matches the Rfam family "Bacterial small subunit ribosomal RNA", at positions 509 to 807 of the family's 1533-position model. The record is from RNAcentral.
CAGCCGCCGCGGUAAUACGUAGGUGGCAAGCGUUAUCCGGAAUUAUUGGGCGUAAAGCGCGCGUAGGCGGUUUUUUAAGUCUGAUGUGAAAGCCCACGGCUCAACCGUGGAGGGUCAUUGGAAACUGGAAAACUUGAGUGCAGAAGAGGAAAGUGGAAUUCCAUGUGUAGCGGUGAAAUGCGCAGAGAUAUGGAGGAACACCAGUGGCGAAGGCGGCUUUCUGGUCUGUAACUGACGCUGAUGUGCGAAAGCGUGGGGAUCAAACAGGAUUAGAUACCCCGGUAGUCCCUGUCUCUUAUAC